Molecule: long non-coding RNA, 4804 nt
Filed under: Sus scrofa (pig)
Lineage: Eukaryota; Metazoa; Chordata; Mammalia; Artiodactyla; Suidae
Description: lncRNA (ENSSSCG00050003878.1)
Source: RNAcentral
UUUUUUUUUUUUUUUUUUUUUUUUUUUUGUCUUUUCUAGGGCCGCACCUGUGGCAUAUGGAGCUUCCCAGGGUAGGGGUCUAAUCAGAGCUACAGCUGCCGGCCUAUGCCACAGCCAUAGCAAUGCCAGAUCUGAGCCACAUCUUCGACCUACACCACAGCUCACGGCAACGCCGGAUCCUUAACCCCUUGAGCAAGGCCAGGGAUCAAACCUGAAACCUCAUGGUUCCUAGCCGGAUUGGUUAACCACUGAGCCAGUACAGGAACUUCUCACUAUACUCUUAAAGUAUGUGCCGCAUCUUGAAAGAUGGGAUGGUGGGGAGGAAGGGAAACAUUUUGAUCACUGUUUAGUAGAAACUCAAACCUGGCCCAAUAUCUUCUCCUUAAAAUAGGCCAGAUGUGAACUUUCAUUUGCAGUCAUUACAUCCCAAUUGAUUUCCACAACAUAAUCAAAAGUGGACAUGACAGCAUUAGUCUCAAAAGACCACGAGUCAACUGUCCUCCUAUCAGCCCUCAUACUCACAGGUUCAGAUCAGUACAGAAUUUCCCUUAAGAACUCUUUUUACACGUUCCCCAAACAAAAACUUUAGUAAAAGACUAAUUCAAUUAGAAUCCUUUAAAAACUGAUGAAGCUUAAGGAUAGGAGAAUACUUUUCACUUCAUUUAUUUUUAUAUAUCAUAUUUCUCCUUCUGUUUUAUACACACACACACACACAUAUAUAUACUUUGUAUUUGAAUUGUAUACAUUUUUUAAAAAAUAUUUUUUGGAGUUCCUGUUGUGGCUCAGCAGGUGAAGUACCCAAUGUCGUCUCUGUGAGGAAGCAAGUUUGAUCCCUGGCCUCACUCAGGGAUUAAGGAUCCGGCAUUGCUACAAACUGCAGCAUAGUUGUCUGUGGCUGUGGUGUAGGCUACAGCCGCAGCUCUGAUUCGACCCCUGGCCUGGGAACUUCCAUAUGCUGCAAGUAUGGCCUUAAAAAUAAAUAAAUAAAAUAAAAUAAAAUAAAAAACUGUGACUACUAGAAAACUUUAAAUCACAUGGAUGACUCACAUCAUAUCUUCAUUAGACUGUGCUGCUCCAGAUUAUAAAUGGUUUAUCCUCUUAGCUCCCAGUCAGCAGAACCGAUCUGUCCCAUGUCCCCUUCUCUGGGUGGCCAUUCUCUAAUGCUAAAGCCCAACCAUACCAGGUGUUCCUGAGUAGACAGUGUGCCCCUGACAGUGACAUCUAGACUGAGCCUCUGAAGCCUCAGGGUGGUUGUAAGAAGUGUGUCCCCCCUUCUGCAGGAGGCAGGAAGGCAGGGAAGGGGAGGGACCCCGCCACCCCUCAAAUGGCACUAAUUCUACCUGCAUGGGAGCACUGACUUUCCAAUGGUCAUCUGGCUGGGAGGAUUUUCAUCUCCUGAAGUAUCAUGGUAGCUUGGGGAGGAGGGGGGAAGAGGAAGAGAACAAAGUCUUAAAUAUUCUUCAGCAUGACCCCUCGGUCAUCCCUCUCCUCUCUCUUUCAGGUUAGAAACAGAAAUUCAUAAAACCCAGGGACAAUACUGGCUUCCCCAUGGGACUCCUCAUUUUUGCCAGGAGCUGGGCUGAGUGCUUUGUGGGUAUCAUCUCAUCCCAUUUGCCCAACCACCCCAUGAAAUUUCUAGAAGAGGAAACUCAAGCUUAGGAGGGUUAAGUAAUGUGCCCGAGGUGACCACAGGAUUAGUCAAGGGGCCAAGUCACAGGAUUCAGGUCUGAUCGGCUCUGGACCCAUGUUCCUCCCCACCAAUUCACUUCUCCAGGCCUUGGUUUCCUCAUCUGUGGAAUGGGGACAUUAUCUGCCUGAAGGCGGGGUGGAAGGCUCCAUGGUCCCCAGGGACCCAUCCUCUCCUGGAAAGAGGUUCUGGGCUCUUGCAGAGCUGCCCAGUUCCCUCUCCAUCUCUAGCCACUCUCUGGAUGGGCUGCACCCCACAUCCUAGGCUGGCACACCUGUCCCUGACUGCUUGACCUUGGGGCUCUCUUGACCUUGAGGUUCCUCCUGCCUGGGUGCCCUCUAGUUCCUGUCUUGUGAGUUAAGUGCCUCUAGCUCCUUAUAUCAGGACUCCACCUCAACUUCACCUCCUCCAAAGCCCCAUCAAAACUGUCAAGCCAGAAAGCUGCUUCCCAGUCCACCUCCCAGGAGGUGAUGCUCUUCUCCACCCCUCCCCCAGGGCCCUGCACUCCCUUCCCAGCAAACUCACUCGCACCUGAAGCCUUGACACAGACAGGCUUAGCCAGCGCCUCACCUCCCACAGGAAGGAUUAUGUACAUUCAACACACUCAGCUAAAUAUUUCCUGAGCAUCCACGGCACACUUGGCUUCUUCUAUACUCUAUGGGUGUUCUACAGUCUGGGGCACAGCAGUGACGGUGACAAAGUCCCUGCCUGGGCUUCUGAAGGAGUCAAGAUUUCCCCCAAAACAGUGAUGCCCUAAACACACUAUGUGAACAUACUAGUUUAUGGAAUUCCCGUUGUGGCUCAGUGGUUAACGAACCCGACUAGCAUUCAUAAGGAUGUGAGUUCAGUACCUGGCCUCGCUCAGUGAGUUAAGGAUCUGGUAUUGCUGUGAGCUGUGGUGUAGGUUGCAGACAUGGCUCAGAUCCCAUGUUGCUGUGGCUGUGGUGUAGGCCAGCAGCUACAGCUCUGAAUGGACCCCUAACCUGGGAACCCCCAUGUGCCGUUGUUGUGGCCCUAAAAAAAAAAGACCAAAAAAAAAAAAUACUGGUUCACAUUUCUCAAGAUUCUCCUGCUGUUAUUUUUGGGUCAAGGAAUGAUUCAUAAAUGAUUAAUGAUUAAUAAAUGAUUCUAAAGAACAUGAUGGCAUUGGUAAGUGUGAUAGAACACUUGGUAAGGGACAGCUUGCUAUACCAUACACCAGUGGCUCUUAACACAGUGAUGGAGGCAGGUGUAUAGUGAGAAGUACCUUUCUAAGCCCAUCUGCAAAGCGUUGGGGUGGGAUAGGGGGGUGCUAUUUUCCUAAUUCAAACUGCAGAUGGUAAAGCUUACUGAAAUGUUCUUGGCCAAUGAGGAGACUUGGAAAAUACAUUUUCUUCUACAUAGCAAUGAUUUACGCUGGGAAUGUCCCAGACUCCCAAGAAAAAGAAACUUCUCUUCAUUAAAAGAUGAUCUGGGUAUUAAAAGUUUUAGAAAACAGUAUUUAAUCUUAUUACAUUUAUUUGUGCAUAUGUGUGCGUGUGUGUGUGCGUGUGUGUGUUUUAGUGGAUGUAUGAAAAAAGACUGGAAGGAAAUACAGCCAAAUUAGGGUGUUAUAAGCAGUUUUUGGUUUUAAUUUCAUACCUUUCCACAGUUUCCAAAUUUUCUCUCAUGACCCUUAUUGCUCCUCUAAGCAGAAAAUAAGCAGUAAACUGAAAUGCUAAUAGUUUUUUAAUUUCCUCAUGAAUCUGUUUUUACAGGCACCAUUUCAGUGGGGUCUGGAAAUCAGCAGGGUGUGAAACACAAAUGAAAUUCCCCGUUCACACGGGGCUGAGCGUACCCCUUGGCCCUGAAGAGAAGCUUUCCCUGCAUCCACGCUGGCAGCCAGCUGUCCACAGCUGCUCUGAGGAGGCUGCAAAUGAAUGGAGCUGGUGGAAAAACACAACAUUCCUGACUCUCCAAGGAUGGCAUUAUGCUUGGAGCUCUUGCUCACCAAAGAAGUAAAUAAAUACAGAGAGAGAGGGAGAGAAAGAGAGACAGAGAAGCAAGCUAGAGGAACUUUAUUCCAGGAGGUGGGUCAGCUCCUGGACCCAUAACACAACACCUAAAAGAAGACACCUGUGCCUAAGCCAACCAGCCUUGUCAAAUCAGGGCUAAAACACUGCUUGACCAUGGCCUACUGGGCUAUACCUCUUGCAUGCCACCUUCCCUUCCUGCCACACCUAAGGGUACAUAUGAACCAACUUUAUAUCCACCGCUAGGCUAAAGAGAUUCUGAGAGCACAGCCCCUGGCUGAUUCACCUUCAUCAACCCCUAGCACUGAAGGGCAUAUCCGUUCAUCCACUAUUUCCUCAGCCACUGCUGCAUGCCAAGCACUGUUCUGAUGCUAAGGAUACAAUGGGAAGCAAAACAGACAAACUCCCUGCCUUCACGGACCUUCCAUUCUAGCAGGGGAGGCAGACAAUAGACUGGAGGAGAACCAAGAUUACAGCCCAGGCAGACUGGGGUGCUGUGAAUGUAUUGCUAGGUUGUUUCAGAUGAGAUCUAAUGACAAGGUGAAGCCAGCUGUGGGAAGAUUCUGCACACAUGUGAGCUUGGUGUGUUUCAGGAACAAAAAGGGGCCAGGUGGUUCGAGUACAGGGCGUAGACAGUGAUCAGAGAGGCAGGCAGAGGCCAGAUCCUGGAAACCCCAUGGGAGGGGAGCACAGGAGCAGCCCACUUGCCUUAUAAAACCUGCUGUGAGCACCUGACAUGGUUCUGAGGGGUGGAUUAAUUCACUCCAAGGAGUUAAACAGAGAGACAAGCUCAGGGCUUUGCCUGCUUCCUCUGCCCCAAACCCUCAUUCCUCCCUCCACUGACCCAGCGAGAAAAGAUGCCCCAUCGAAGAAAGGAAGUUGUCAUCAGUGAACUGGUUGGUACUCUUUCUUUGAAGACAAAGGUGGGAUUGGGAAUUGGCGUGGAGAGUGGGAGGUGAGGGGGACCACCAGGGACUAGUCUGGGGAAGGGGAAGGGAGAGAGGGAAAGAGCUCUAACCUCCCCAGCCAGGACCUCACAGAAAUGCCAGAGUCCCUGGUCAGAGGGAGCCACACCUAAUUUGCCCCUUUCAGGAUCUCCUCCUGCAGAAAAAAAAAAAAAAAAAAA